UGAAACUCAGAUGUUAGAAUACAGGUUAUUGAAAUGAAAAUGAAUUGAAAUGCAACUUGUUAAAGUGAAAUGAAACCUUGUUUGGACUAAUAUUUAAAGGUUUACUUAUGCAGGGUAAUUUCAACUGGUUGAUUGUGGAGUUGUAGUGGUUGUCAUGUGGAAUUUGGCUUGGUGAGGUGCAGUGAGAACCAAUUGAGUGUGGAUUUCUCAGAAGGGAAUUCAGACUGCUUGGACCGGUUUUAUUCUGUAAAUGUGAAUUGUUAUGGAAUUUUGAAUUGUAAGAAUUUGUUUAUUGAAUGUUGAAUGGUUGGAUUAUGGAAAAUUGAAUAUUAUUAUGAAUGUUAAUUUGAAAUUAACUUUGAAUGUUAAAUGGAAAUGGACUUAAAUAA
Molecule: long non-coding RNA, 389 nt
Filed under: Lathyrus oleraceus (garden pea)
Lineage: Eukaryota; Viridiplantae; Streptophyta; Magnoliopsida; Fabales; Fabaceae
Description: Pisum sativum (pea) long non-coding RNA (PSAT_LNC014439)
Source: RNAcentral